This 316-nucleotide ribosomal RNA is filed under the name Lachnospiraceae bacterium G11. RNAcentral describes it as "bacterial LSU rRNA". It matches the Rfam family "Bacterial large subunit ribosomal RNA", at positions 2609 to 2925 of the family's 2925-position model. The record is from RNAcentral. Lineage: Bacteria; Bacillati; Bacillota; Clostridia; Lachnospirales; Lachnospiraceae.
GUUCAGAACGUCGUGAGACAGUUCGGUCCCUAUCCGGCGCAGGCGAAGGAUAUUUGAGAGGAGCUGCCCUUAGUACGAGAGGACCGGGGUGGACGGACCGCUGGUGUAUCUGUUGGAGACCAACUCCAUGGCAGAGUAGCCAAGUCCGGCAGGGAUAAACGCUGAAGGCAUCUAAGCGUGAAGCCCCCCUCAAGAUGAGAUAUCCCAUUUCUUUAAGAAAGUAAGACCCCUUGAAGACUACAAGGUAGAUAGGAGUGAGGUGUAAGCAUGGUAACAUGUUCAGCUGACGCUUACUAAUCGGUCGAGGGCUUUUCCA